GCAUAUCAAUAAGCGGAGGAAAAGAAACCAACAGGGAUUGCCUCAGUAACGGCGAGUGAAGCGGCAACAGCUCAAAUUUGAAAUCUGGUCCCCUCUGGGGGCCCGAGUUGUAAUUUGAAGAGGAUGCUUUUGGCGAGGCGCCUUCCGAGUGCCCUGGAACGGGACGCCACAGAGGGUGAGAGCCCCGUAUGGUAGGACGCCGAGCCUCUGUAAAGCUCCUUCGACGAGUCGAGUAGUUUGGGAAUGCUGCUCAAAAUGGGAGGUAAACCCCUUCUAAAGCUAAAUAUUGGCCAGAGACCGAUAGCGCACAAGUAGAGUGAUCGAAAGAUGAAAAGCACUUUGAAAAGAGAGUUAAACAGCACGUGAAAUUGUUGAAAGGGAAGCGCUUGCGACCAGACUUGCGCCCGUCGGAUCAACCGUCCCUCGUGGGCGGCGCACUCCGGCGGGCUCAGGCCAGCAUCAGUUUUCCUGGGGGGAGAAAGGCGGUGGGAAUGUAGCUCUUCGGAGUGUUAUAGCCCGCCGCGUAAUGCCCUCGGGGGGACUGAGGACCGCGCGUAUGCAAGGAUGCUGGCGUAAUGGUCGUCAGCGACCCGUCUUGAAACACGGACC
RNAcentral lists this ribosomal RNA (609 nucleotides) under Cephalotrichum stemonitis. RNAcentral describes it as "eukaryotic LSU rRNA". It matches the Rfam family "Eukaryotic large subunit ribosomal RNA", at positions 38 to 667 of the family's 3401-position model. Lineage: Eukaryota; Fungi; Ascomycota; Sordariomycetes; Microascales; Microascaceae. The record is from RNAcentral.